Molecule: transfer RNA, 74 nt
Organism: Morganella morganii subsp. morganii KT
Lineage: Bacteria; Pseudomonadati; Pseudomonadota; Gammaproteobacteria; Enterobacterales; Morganellaceae
Rfam family: tRNA
About the family: Transfer RNA (tRNA) molecules are approximately 80 nucleotides in length.
Source: Rfam
CGCGGGAUGGAGCAGCAUGGUAGCUCGUCGGGCUCAUAACCCGAAGGUCGUCGGUUCAAAUCCGGCUCCCGCAA